Cynocephalus volans (Philippine flying lemur) is the source of this 74-nucleotide non-coding RNA. The record is from the annotation of a RefSeq genome assembly. Lineage: Eukaryota; Metazoa; Chordata; Mammalia; Dermoptera; Cynocephalidae.
GGCUGGUUAGCUCAGUUGGUUAGAGUGUGGUGCUGAUAACACCAACGUCCUAGGUUCGAUCCCUGUAUUGGCCA